RNAcentral lists this long non-coding RNA (339 nucleotides) under Setaria viridis. RNAcentral's name for it is "long non-coding RNA (SVIR_LNC006834)". Lineage: Eukaryota; Viridiplantae; Streptophyta; Magnoliopsida; Poales; Poaceae. The record is from RNAcentral.
UCAAAACCAAGGAUUUAACCCCGGGAAUCUCGGGACGAGAUUCUGUUAAGGGGGAGAGGCUGUAACAGCUGCCAUUUUAGUCAUCAAAGUGACUUGGAGGAGUUGGAAGCAAUUCGAGAAGAAAGGAAAAAGAAAUUGACCGAAAAUCAAAUUCGGGUCAAAUUUGGCCGAAAUUUGAAUUUUGAAUCUGAAAUUCAGAAAAAUUCGGCAAAAAUAUAUAAUAGAAGUGUAAAGAUGAUUAGAACUCAAGGGUCAAAAAUUUGGAAUAAUAUUUGAUCCUAAACACUCAAAAGAAAUUAGAGAAGGAAAUGAAAAACUACAUUUACUGUUCACUAUCCG